UACGUAGGGUGCAAGCGUUGUCCGGAAUUAUUGGGCGUAAAGAGCUCGUAGGCGGCUUGUCGCGUCAACUGUGAAAACCCGUGGCUCAACCAUGUGGUCUGCAGUCGAUACGGGCAGGCUAGAAUUCGGUAGGGGAGACUGGAAUUCCUGGUGUAGCGGUGAAAUGCGCAGAUAUCAGGAGGAACACCGGUGGCGAAGGCGGGUCUCUGGGCCGAUAUUGACGCUGAGGAGCGAAAGCGUGGGGAGCGAACAGG
This 254-nucleotide ribosomal RNA is filed under the name uncultured bacterium. RNAcentral describes it as "partial 16S ribosomal RNA". It matches the Rfam family "Bacterial small subunit ribosomal RNA", at positions 524 to 776 of the family's 1533-position model. The record is from RNAcentral.